GGGGGGCAGCUGUGCCGCCGCACCACGCCGGCGUCGCGGUGACGAACGCUGGUGGCGUGACUGGAAAACCAAACGAGAGACUGCAAGCAGCGCCUGGACACCGCCCCGGGACGCGGGGUGAAGGCACGACUGGAGACGGGGCCUCCCGGGCG
This is a long non-coding RNA of Phyllostomus discolor (pale spear-nosed bat), 152 nucleotides long. RefSeq lists it as uncharacterized. The transcript has 3 exons. The record is from RefSeq and is a predicted model, not a curated record. Lineage: Eukaryota; Metazoa; Chordata; Mammalia; Chiroptera; Phyllostomidae.